GGGUGAGUAAUGCUUGGGAAUCUAGCUUAUGGAGGGGGGUAACGUACGGGAAACUGUAGCUAAUACCGCGUAGAAUCGAGAGAUGAAAGUGUGGGACCUUCGGGCCACAUGCCAUAGGAUGAGCCCAAGUGGGAUUAGGUAGUUGGUGAGGUAAAGGCUCACCAAGCCGACGAUCUCUAGCUGGUCUGAGAGGAUGACCAGCCACACUGGGACUGAGACACGGCCCAG
RNAcentral lists this ribosomal RNA (228 nucleotides) under uncultured Pasteurellales bacterium. RNAcentral's name for it is "partial 16S ribosomal RNA". It matches the Rfam family "Bacterial small subunit ribosomal RNA", at positions 104 to 334 of the family's 1533-position model. The record is from RNAcentral. Lineage: Bacteria; Pseudomonadati; Pseudomonadota; Gammaproteobacteria; Pasteurellales.